AUGUUGUGCAUCCGCGCGUGCAUGAGGCGAAGAGAUGUAGGAACUCUUUGCGUGGAUCGAUCCAUCCAGAGUCCACUCUGAAGGCCGUAUUCAUUGCACCUUUGCCCUCUGCCCACCGCUACUCACCCAGCCCAACCCAACCAUCAAUGCCACCGUCGUCUGCCCUCUGCCCACCGCUACUCACCCAGCCCAACCCAACCAUCAAUGCCACCGUCGUCUGCUCGUAUCUGCGCCCAAUUCUCAAGUAAAAGCUGGGAGACGGAAUGGAUGAACCUGAUGAACAUCGCUAUGGUCUGUGGCUAUAAAGCAGCGGUGUGGAGUGUGGACCUCGUCCACGUGGUUGUCGAGCCACGACGCCCAAAUCGCAGAGCCUGAAUCUCGCCCGUCCGAUAUAUCAUAUAUAUAUAUGGCAAAGAAGAGAUCCGAUUCUACCGAUCUCGAUUGUUGUAAAAAUCGUACGGUCCGGAUCAACCUUCUCGAUCCUCGGCCUCGUCGGCGGCGGCUUCUCGUGUCGUCUUUCGCCGGCUCGAAAUCAGGUCGUCACCACGUGUAAAAUCAAAUCGCGUCUGCACAUAACAGCCGCGAUCCCUGAUCACCCCACACACACACACACACACACACUCUCUCUCUCUCUCUCUCUCUCGCGCGCGCGCGCGUGUUCUCUCCCGACGCAAUGGGCGAGACUAACGGCGACGUACGGACCCCCGUGACUAACGGCGGCGGACCCCCGGCGUCCGUGACGGAGCCGGCGGUAUUCCGGGGGACGGAAUAUUCCCUCGUCCGUACCAUCGUCGCCCUCGCCGUUUGGCUCGGCGGCAUCCACUUGAACGUCGCGCUCGUCCUAACGGCGCUCCUCCUCCUCCCCGCCCGCCUCGCUGCAUUGGUUUUUGGGCUUCUGCUCUUCUUCAUGGUGAUUCCUCUCAACGAUAAGAACAAAUUUGGCCUCAGCUUGUCCAGGUACAUUUGCAAAUAUGCUUGCGGAUACUUCCCUAUUACCCUUCACGUUGAGGAUAUACAGGCUUUCGAUCCAAAUCGUGCUUAUGUGUUUGGUUAUGAGCCGCAUUCUGUGUUGCCUAUCGGCAUUUGUAUUCUUGGGGAUCACACAGGGUUUAUGCCUCUGCCUAAUAUCAAGGUUCUCGCAAGCAGCGCAGUGUUCUAUACUCCAAUUCUAAGACAGAUUUGGACUUGGCUGGGGUUGAUCUCUGCGUCGAGAAAGAACUUCUAUGCCCACCUUGCAGCUGGUUAUAGUUGUGUCGUCGUGCCAGGUGGCGUGCAAGAGAUUCUUCAUAUGGAUCAUGAUUCGGAGGUGGCUUUCCUUAAAUCGAGAAAGGGGUUCGUCCGGAUAGCUAUGGAGAUGGGCUGCCCUUUAGUUCCUGUUUUCUGUUUCGGUCAGAGUAAUGUUUACAAGUGGUGGAAGCCCAGCGGAAAAUUAUUCUUUAAGAUUGCUAGAGCAAUAAAGUUUACUCCAAUAAUCUUUUGGGGAAGAAUGGGGACUCCUAUCCCAUUUCAAAAGGCAAUGCAUGUAGUAGUUGGAAGACCUAUCGAGCUCGUGAAAAACCCCCGGCCUACUGUGGAUGAGGUAAAUCACGUCCAUGCACAAUUUGUGGUGGCUCUACAAGAGCUUUUUGAGAAGUACAGGGCCAGGGUGGGAUCUUCUGAUCUACAUCUUAGAGUUCUAUAGUGUUGGUACUAUAACGCUGCUGUUGGAUUAAUGCACAGAGGUUUGAAGUGAAUUUCUAAAGUGUAGUCUGGAAGAACAAGUCAUACAUCUCAAGUUUCAGUGAAGUAAGAUUGGUUUUUAAAGUUCUGCUCCAGCGCCGAAGCCGUGGUUUAUCAUAAGUGGACUUGGGGAAAAGGCCAAAGCACCAUAUUAUAGAUAAGAGGACAAUAAAAAGCAUUUCAGAGGAUUGCAUCGAGUGCCAGAGGAAUCUAUUCGUGUGGAAACGGGGGGCAAGUUCACAAGAUUAGAAGAGAUUCCAAACAGGUUGGUUAGUAAGAGAGCACAUCAUGCAUGUGGAAGCCCCUAUAUAAAUAAAGUUUUUUUUUUUUUUUUUUUUGAGAAAGAGGUAGUAUGUUAUCCGCUUCAUUCAUUCAGAAGGAGAAUUAAGCUAUAUAGGUGAGGCAACACAGGCCUCGGGGGAUGGCGGAAAAAAACUAAACUGAAAAAAAAAAAAAGCUGACGAACCCUCGGAAUGACCCCAAACAGCUGACGAUCUUUAGGAUGGUCCAAACAGACCCAACUCUCAAGAUUUUUAAGAUUAAACAGCUGACGAACCUGCGGGUGAACCUUAGCCCAGUGGAGUGACAUAACCAUAACUGUUAGUUUUUCUUUUUUCGGUUUAGUUUUUUCCGCCCUAUAUAAAUAAAGCUAGUUGCUUAUUGUCUUGC
Ananas comosus (pineapple) is the source of this 2388-nucleotide RNA transcript. It is a transcript of the gene named diacylglycerol O-acyltransferase 2-like, with no coding region annotated. The record is from RefSeq and is a predicted model, not a curated record. The transcript has 11 exons. Lineage: Eukaryota; Viridiplantae; Streptophyta; Magnoliopsida; Poales; Bromeliaceae.